AAAGAAAGAUUGUGACAUAUCACUUAAACCAGAACUUAGGUGAUGAGACUCUUCUGUCUAGCAACCACUUAUUUUGGGUAUUGUGACAUUUCACUGGGCCAAACACCUAAAAAAUGGGAGGCCCUGCCUCAGCCCUGUCCACAUAUAUCUGGACAUAUAUCUGCAUACAUUACAUAAAACAUGUGAUACCUUUUCUGCCUGUAUCCUGCCCACAGGAAAGAUUGUGACACUGCAGGGCCUGGCCGCCAGCCGUUGUGUCUCACCUGAAUGUACAUAACUUUCAGGAGAAAGUUGUAACAUGUGACUGGUUGAAAACCCAGAUGAUGUGACUCUCCUGCCUUUUCACAGCCCUCAGGGAAAAAAUUUACAUAUCAGUGGCCCAGCAUCCAGGUGAUGUGACUCUCCUGGGUGCUUUCUGCCAACAAGUUGAUUGGUAACAUAUAUCUCAUCGCAGCUCACGGGUUUGAUGAUGACUCUAAUACUUCGUACCAGUCAAUAGAAGAGAUAGUGUCUCUCACAGCUAGGCUUAGAAAAAGGAGUAAAAUCCCGGGUCUCCUCUCUGCAUGAAGGUUAUAGCGAAUCACCACUCUCUCAUAUAUUGUAUAAAGCACUCAGAUGAUACAGAGCAUGUCGUCAUAGGACCCAGCAAACAGGUUAGAUCAUGUUUCAUGUAAGCGCUCCCUGACAAUUUUUAGAAUUGUCAUCGUCACACAUGGUAAAAGCCCACUGAUGAGGUCAUAAUUCUCAUGCACAGAUGCAGUCCACAGUUAAAAUUGUAACUAUCAUAUGUAAACGUGGCCACAGUUGAGAUGGUGACUCAUUUCUAAACCCAGCUCAUAGGUGAGUGAGGACUCUCCUCUCUGGACCCAGCCAAUUGAAGAGAUGUUGACCCAUACGUAGACUUAGGACCACAUAAGAUCAUGGGUCCAAAGCAGCGCAAAGUUCUCAGAGUAGGUUGCAACUCAUACAGUCCUCGAGAGAGUGCCCUUACAGGGCCAAGCACACAGGUGAGAUUGUCAAACUUAUAUUCACACCCAGUCAAUAGCAAAGAUUGUCAUUUACUUAAAUAAACACACGCUACUUUUGAGGUUCUGAAUCUCACUUUUGGAGGCAGUUGAAUGUUGGAAAAUUGACUCUCAUUUGUGUGGAUUUUGUCCACAUUUGGGUUAGUGACUCUUUAAUCAAAAUUCAGCACACCUUUGUGACUAACUUCACUAAGGAGCUUUAUUUAUUUAGAGAUGAAGUUUCAUUCUUGUAACCCAGGCUGGAGUGCGGUGGCGUGAUCUCCGCUCACUGCAACCUCUGCCUACUGGGUUCAAGCGAUUCUCCUGCCUGAUUCUCCCAAGUAGCUGGGAUUACAGGUGCCCACCACCAUGUUGGCAUUUUUUGUAUUUUUAGUAGAGAUGGGGCUUCACCAUGUUGGUCAGGCUGGUCUUGAACUCCUGACCUCAAGUGAUCCGCCCACCUCGGCCUCCCAAAAUGCUGAGAUUACAGGUGUGAGCCACCGUGCCCAGUCUAAGGCACACAAUUUGCAAAGGAAAUUGAGGCUCUCGCACAAAUCCAGUCCACCCUGUACUUACACCCAACAUGCAGGAGGUGUUGACUCUCAUCCCUUGACUCAGGACAUGUGUGUAAUUGUUAAUGUCAUGGCAAGACCUUUUGACAAGUGUAAUUGUGACAUAUACCUUGGCCUAGCAUCUGAGUUAUUUGUUGUUUCCUGGGUCCAGCUCACAGUGCCAUAUCACUGGACCCAGACCCUUGGUAAUGUGAUUCUAUUCUGCCUUGAUACAGCCCACAGGGGUCAUUGUGACAUCGCUGGGCAUUGCACCUAGGUGAUUUGAGUCUCCUCUUCUGCCUUGGUGCUGCCCACAGGUGUAUUGUGACAUAUUGCUGGGCGUAUGUUAUGUGACUCUUGCUUGUGCCCUAAACACAUAGGCCAUUGUAACAUUGCUGAGUGCAACACCCAGGUGAUGUAACGCUUCAUCCUGGACCUGUCUACAGAGGGCAUUGUAAUAUAUGUCUUCACCAAUCACCCAGGAAAUGUGACUUUUUAUUCCUGCCUGUUCUGUACUCACAGUGGGUAUUGGGACAUAUUGGGCCUAGCACCUAGCUGAUGUGACUUUUCUUUAUUCUAGGUUCUGACAACAAAGGAGAUUGUGACACAUUGCUGGGCCUAACACUAAGUUGAUGUUAGUUAUUUGCUUUGGCUGUGCCCUUGGAAGGCAUUGAGACAUACUGCUAUGCCCAGCACCAAGAUGAUGUGAGUUCCCUGCCUGAACCCUGAUCACAGGAAGCAUUGUGACCUAUCUGUUGACCCACUGCAAUCUCUCCUGUGGGAAAAGCACAGAUAAAUGCCCUCUUUUACCUACGUGAUUUGACACUCCUCUACUGCCUGGGCCGUGCCCACAGAAUAGAGAGUGACUUAUCACUGGACCAAGCACACCAGUGAUGUAAUUAUUCUGCUCGGUCCUUGCACACACAAGUCACUGUGAUAUAUGUUUGGGCCCAUCACCUAGAUGAUGUGACUCCUCUUCUGGGGUUUGUCCACAGUGGGAAUUGUGAUACAUCGCUUGACGUAGCUCUUAUGUGAUGUGACUUUUCUUUCAUGCUUGGGCCCUUCCUACUGGGAUGAUUGGAACAUAAAGCUGAGCCCAGCACCU
RNAcentral lists this small RNA (2660 nucleotides) under Pan troglodytes (chimpanzee). RNAcentral describes it as "retained intron". The record is from RNAcentral. Lineage: Eukaryota; Metazoa; Chordata; Mammalia; Primates; Hominidae.